CGCUUCUUUUUCCACCGGAGCUUGCUCCACCGGAAAAAGAGGAGUGGCGAACGGGUGAGUAACACGUGGGUAACCUGCCCAUCAGAAGGGGAUAACACUUGGAAACAGGUGCUAAUACCGUAUAACAAUCAAAACCGCAUGGUUUUGAUUUGAAAGGCGCUUUCGGGUGUCGCUGAUGGAUGGACCCGCGGUGCAUUAGCUAGUUGGUGAGGUAACGGCUCACCAAGGCCACGAUGCAUAGCCGACCUGAGAGGGUGAUCGGCCACAUUGGGACUGAGACACGGCCCAAACUCCUACGGGAGGCAGCAGUAGGGAAUCUUCGGCAAUGGACGAAAGUCUGACCGAGCAACGCCGCGUGAGUGAAGAAGGUUUUCGGAUCGUAAAACUCUGUUGUUAGAGAAGAACAAGGAUGAGAGUAACUGUUCAUCCCUUGACGGUAUCUAACCAGAAAGCCACGGCUAACUACGUGCC
RNAcentral lists this ribosomal RNA (471 nucleotides) under Enterococcus hirae. RNAcentral's name for it is "bacterial SSU rRNA". It matches the Rfam family "Bacterial small subunit ribosomal RNA", at positions 67 to 509 of the family's 1533-position model. Lineage: Bacteria; Bacillati; Bacillota; Bacilli; Lactobacillales; Enterococcaceae. The record is from RNAcentral.